This 847-nucleotide ribosomal RNA is filed under the name uncultured fungus. RNAcentral describes it as "SSU rRNA". It matches the Rfam family "Eukaryotic small subunit ribosomal RNA", at positions 564 to 1434 of the family's 1831-position model. Lineage: Eukaryota; Fungi. The record is from RNAcentral.
GUGCCAGCAGCCGCGGUAAUUCCAGCUCCAAUAGCGUAUAUUAAAGUUGUUGCAGUUAAAAAGCUCGUAGUUGAAACUUGGGCCUGGCUGGCGGGUCCGCCUCACCGCGUGCACUCGUCCGGCCGGGCCUUCCUUCUGAAGAACCUCAUGCCCUUCACUGGGCGUGCUGGGGAAUCAGGACUUUUACUUUGAAAAAAUUAGAGUGUUCAAAGCAGGCCUUUACUCGAAUACGUUAGCAUGGAAUAAUAAAAUAGGGCGUGCGUUUCUAUUUUGUUGGUUUCUAGAGACGCCGCAAUGAUUAACAGGAACAGUCGGGGGCAUCAGUAUUCAGUUGUCAGAGGUGAAAUUCUUGGAUUUACUGAAGACUAACUACUGCGAAAGCAUUUGCCAAGGAUGUUUUCAUUAAUCAGUGAACGAAAGUUAGGGGAUCGAAGACGAUCAGAUACCGUCGUAGUCUUAACCGUAAACUAUGCCGACUAGGGAUCGGGCGAUGUUCUUUUUCUGACUCGCUCGGCACCUUACGAGAAAUCAAAGUUUUUGGGUUCUGGGGGGAUUAUGGUCGCAAGGCUGAAACUUAAAGAAAUUGACGGAAGGUCACCACCAGGCGUGGAGCCUGCGGCUUAAUUUGACUCAACACGGGGAAACUCACCAGGUCCAGAUGAAAUAAGGAUUGACAGAUUGAGAGCUCUUUUCUUGAUUUUUCAGGUGGUGGUGCAUGGCCGUUCUUAGUUCGUGGGGUGACUUGUCUGCUUAAUUGCGAUAACGAGCGAGACCUUACUCUGCUAAAUAGCCAGGCUAACUUUGGGUUGGUCGCCGGGCUUCUUAGAGGAGACUAAUCAACUCAAGU